RNAcentral lists this transfer RNA (85 nucleotides) under Felis catus (domestic cat). It matches the Rfam family "tRNA". From Rfam's summary of the family: Transfer RNA (tRNA) molecules are approximately 80 nucleotides in length. Their secondary structure includes four short double-helical elements and three loops (D, anti-codon, and T loops). RNAcentral also lists the same sequence under 1 other name. The record is from Rfam by way of RNAcentral. Lineage: Eukaryota; Metazoa; Chordata; Mammalia; Carnivora; Felidae.
GCAUGGGUGGCUCAGUUGGCUAAGCUUCUGACUCUGGCUCAGGUCAUGAUCUCAGGGUUUGUGGGUUCGAGCCCCACAUCAGGCU